GACGAACGCUGGCGGCGUGCCUAAUACAUGCAAGUCGAGCGAGCGGAACUAACAGAUUUACUUCGGUAAUGACGUUAGGAAAGCGAGCGGCGGAUGGGUGAGUAACGCGUGGGGAACCUGCCCCAUAGUCUGGGAUACCACUUGGAAACAGGUGCUAAUACCGGAUAAGAAAGCAGAUCGCAUGAUCAGCUUUUAAAAGGCGGCGUAAGCUGUCGCUAUGGGAUGGCCCCGCGGUGCAUUAGCUAGUUGGUAAGGUAAAGGCUUACCAAGGCGAUGAUGCAUAGCCGAGUUGAGAGACUGAUCGGCCACAUUGGGACUGAGACACGGCCCAAACUCCUACGGGAGGCAGCAGUAGGGAAUCUUCCACAAUGGACGCAAGUCUGAUGGAGCAACGCCGCGUGAGUGAAGAAGGUUUUCGGAUCGUAAAGCUCUGUUGUUGGUGAAGAAGGAUAGAGGUAGUAACUGGCCUUUAUUUGACGGUAAUCAACCAGAAAGUCACGGCUAACUACGUG
Molecule: ribosomal RNA, 512 nt
Filed under: uncultured bacterium
Lineage: Bacteria
Description: partial 16S ribosomal RNA
Rfam family: Bacterial small subunit ribosomal RNA
Source: RNAcentral